UACGUAGGGUGCAAGCGUUAAUCGGAAUUACUGGGCGUAAAGCGUGCGUAGGCGGCUAUGUAAGACAGAUGUGAAAUCCCUGGGCUUAACCUAGGAACUGCAUUUGUGACUGUAUAGCUAGAGUGUGGUAGAGGGAGAUGGAAUUCCGCAUGUAGCAGUGAAAUGCGUAGAUAUGCGGAGGAACACCAAUGGCGAAGGCAAUCUCCUGGACCUGCACUGACGCUCAUGCACGAAAGCGUGGGGAGCAAACAGG
This 253-nucleotide ribosomal RNA is filed under the name uncultured bacterium. RNAcentral's name for it is "partial 16S ribosomal RNA". It matches the Rfam family "Bacterial small subunit ribosomal RNA", at positions 524 to 776 of the family's 1533-position model. The record is from RNAcentral.